GAUGAACGCUAGCUACAGGCUUAACACAUGCAAGUCGAGGGGAAACGGCAUCGAAAGCUUGCUUUUGAUGGGCGUCGACCGGCGCACGGGUGAGUAACGCGUAUCCAACCUGCCCAUCACUUGGGAAUAACCUUGCGAAAGUAAGACUAAUGCCCAAUGACAUCCCACGAAGGCAUCCGAAUGGGAUUAAAGAUUUAUCGGUGAUGGAUGGGGAUGCGUCUGAUUAGCUUGUUGGCGGGGUGACGGCCCACCAAGGCAACGAUCAGUAGGGGUUCUGAGAGGAAGGUCCCCCACAUUGGAACUGAGACACGGUCCAAACUCCUACGGGAGGCAGCAGUGAGGAAUAUUGGUCAAUGGGCGAGAGCCUGAACCAGCCAAGUAGCGUGCAGGAUGACGGCCCUAUGGGUUGUAAACUGCUUUUAUAAGGGAAUAAAGUGGGUACGUGUGACUUUUUGCAUGUACCUUAUGAAUAAGGACCGGCUAAUUCCGUG
This 491-nucleotide ribosomal RNA is filed under the name uncultured bacterium. RNAcentral describes it as "partial 16S ribosomal RNA". It matches the Rfam family "Bacterial small subunit ribosomal RNA", at positions 28 to 507 of the family's 1533-position model. The record is from RNAcentral.